This 459-nucleotide ribosomal RNA is filed under the name uncultured bacterium. RNAcentral describes it as "partial 16S ribosomal RNA". It matches the Rfam family "Bacterial small subunit ribosomal RNA", at positions 338 to 795 of the family's 1533-position model. The record is from RNAcentral.
UCUACGGGGGGCAGCAGUGAGGAAUAUUGGUCAAUGGGAGAGAUCCUGAACCAGCCAAGCCGCGUGAGGGCAGACGGCCCUAUGGGUUGUAAACCUCUUUUGUCGGAGAACAAAACCCGGGACGUGUCCCGGGAUGCGUGUAUCCGAAGAAAAAGCAUCGGCUAACUCCGUGCAAGCAGCCGCGGUAAUACGGAGGAUGCGAGUGUUAUCGGGAUUUAUUGGGGUGAAAGGGUGCGUGGGCGGUCCGUUAAGUCAGCGGCAAAAUUGCGGGGCUCAACCCCGUCUAGCCGUUGAAACUGGGAUACUUGAGUUGGCGAGAAGUACGCGGAAUGCGCGGUGUAGCGGUGAAAUGCAUAGAUAUCGCGCAGAACUCCGAUUGCGAAGGCAGCGUACCGGCGCCAGACUGACGCUGAGGCACGAAAGCGUGGGGAUCGAACAGGAUUAGAUACCCUAGUAGUC